GCCAUUUUUAAACUCCUUGUGGGAUAAAUGAGUCCACAAAAAUAAUUUCUAUCCCAAAAUUGUUAAAUAAACACAUUAAUUAGCAUUCCAGUCUCCAAAUAGCAUACAUGGCAACUAUCUUGAAUUAAAUAACAACUCUGAUUAAUACAUACUACAACAAUACAAGUUUCCAUCUCUUUAUUAAUAAUUAACUGGUAACCAAUAGCUCAGCCAAGUGUAAAAUGGGAUGACAAUUGAGAUCUCAAGCCUCAGUAUACCCCUCCUCCAUUCCUUGUUUCCGGACCAAUCAGGCUGCAAUUAUAUCAAGCUACAGAAAAUUAAAUGUGCAACAAUGAGAAGCACUUGGAGCAUGUACCUGUCGUAUAUUAUUCACCACAGGCAAGAAGCAUGAUGCAGAAGUGGGAGAGAAUAGAGAUCUGUCAAGAAAGCCUCAAUGCAGAAUCUUCAUCCAUUGUCCAAACAAAACCAGGCAUGUCAAAUCGAGGCCCNCACAGUCCUAUAAAUGUAAAGCUUCUCAACAGGACAACUUUCUGGCCUUGAACCCGGAGGUCCCCUCUCAUCCAUAACUUCAACAUUGAGCCUAGGUAUCUUCUGACCUAGCAGCUUACAUGCUCCAAAACUCACUGAGCAAGAAGACAUCCAAAGGGAUCGCAUUGUCUCCAGCUUUGCAGCAUUGGCCAAAAGAGCCUUGUCCCCAAACGGACAAUCUCGAAUCUCUAGUUUGCGAAGGUUUUCACACCCAGACAGCACAUGAUGGAGUCCCAGAUCACUAUCUCCAGCAAAAGCUACAGAAAGCAUCUCUAGUUUUUUGGCAUGUGUUCCAAUGUACUCAAACACACGAUCAGUGAGGAGACCUGACAGUGAAAGGCGCCGGAGAUCCUUGCAGUGUUCAACAAUAGCUCCAAAACCAUCAUCUAAUGGAUGAAGGGUUAUAUAAUCAGGGGUUCGUGGCUCAAUAAUACAAAGACGAAAGCGAGUCAUUUUUGGACAGUUCCUGGCAAUUGUUACCAAGGCAUCAUUAGUCAUUUGACGGCAA
RNAcentral lists this unclassified non-coding RNA (1036 nucleotides) under Hevea brasiliensis (rubber tree). The record is from RNAcentral. Lineage: Eukaryota; Viridiplantae; Streptophyta; Magnoliopsida; Malpighiales; Euphorbiaceae.